This 484-nucleotide ribosomal RNA is filed under the name uncultured bacterium. RNAcentral describes it as "partial 16S ribosomal RNA". It matches the Rfam family "Bacterial small subunit ribosomal RNA", at positions 30 to 507 of the family's 1533-position model. The record is from RNAcentral.
AUUGAACGCUGGCGGCAGGCCUAACACAUGCAAGUCGAGCGGAUGAAGGGGGCUUGCUCCUGGAUUCAGCGUCGGACGGGUGAGUAAUGCCUAGGAAUCUGCCUGGUAGUGGGGGAUAACGUCCGGAAACGGGCGCUAAUACCGCAUACGUCCUGAGGGAGAAAGUGGGGGAUCUUCGGACCUCACGCUAUCAGAUGAGCCUAGGUCGGAUUAGCUAGUUGGUGGGGUAAAGGCCUACCAAGGCGACGAUCCGUAACUGGUCUGAGAGGAUGAUCAGUCACACUGGAACUGAGACACGGUCCAGACUCCUACGGGAGGCAGCAGUGGGGAAUAUUGGACAAUGGGCGAAAGCCUGAUCCAGCCAUGCCGCGUGUGUGAAGAAGGUCUUCGGAUUGUAAAGCACUUUAAGUUGGGAGGAAGGGCAGUAAGUUAAUACCUUGCUGUUUUGACGUUACCAACAGAAUAAGCACCGGCUAACUUCGUG